Molecule: ribosomal RNA, 500 nt
Filed under: uncultured bacterium
Lineage: Bacteria
Description: partial 16S ribosomal RNA
Rfam family: Bacterial small subunit ribosomal RNA
Source: RNAcentral
AUUGAACGCUGGCGGCAUGCUUUACACAUGCAAGUCGAACGGUAACAGGGUGCUUGCACCGCUGACGAGUGGCGAACGGGUGAGUAAUGCGUCGGAACGCACCGAGUAAUGGGGGAUAACGCAGCGAAAGCUGUGCUAAUACCGCAUACGCUCUGAGGAGGAAAGCGGGGGACCUUCGGGCCUCGCGUUAUUCGAGCGGCCGACGUCUGAUUAGCUAGUAGGUGAGGUAAGAGCUCACCUAGGCGACGAUCAGUAGCGGGUCUGAGAGGAUGAUCCGCCACACUGGGACUGGGAAACGGCCCAGACUCCUACGGGAGGCAGCAGUGGGGAAUUUUGGACAAUGGGCGCAAGCCUGAUCCAGCCAUGCCGCGUGUCUGAAGAAGGCCUUCGGGUUGUAAAGGACUUUUGUCAGGGAGGAAAUCCUUAGCGCUAAUACCGUUGAGGGAUGACAGUACCUGAAGAAUAAGCACCGGCUAACUACGUGCCAGCCACCGCCGUAA